AAAAGAAACUAACAAGGAUUCCCUCAGUAGCGGCGAGCGAAGCGGGAAAAGCCCGGGAUGAAAAUCUCCUCGGAGAGUUGUAUUCCGAGUGUUCCCAGGGUGGUCAGUGCGGGCAAGUCGUCUGGGAUGACGCGCCACGGAGGGUGAGAGCCCCGUCCAACCCGCACAGGAUCCACCCGUACAGGAACGCUUCAACCGAGUCGGGUAGUUUGGGAAUGCUGCUCUAACAUUGGUGGUAAAUCUCAUCAAAGGCUAAAUAAAAGUGGGAGACCGAUAGCGAACAAGUACCGUGAGGGAAAGAUGGAAAGAACUUUGAAAAGAGAGUGAAAAGCACUUGAAACCGUCACGGGGGAAGCGAAUUGCGUUAGUGAUGUUCUGGCCUGUUCAGCUAUUUGUCGAGAAAUGAAAUACCUUUUUCGUCAAACAGUGUAUUCUGGCAAGAACGUGCUUGUGUGGCUGGCGGGAGUGUGAUGAGACAGUGCGUAGGUAAAUCAUGGUCGUAAAAACACUGUGACGUGCCCAUUCUACUGACCCUCGACACUCUGAAACGCUGGUGAGGGCUCCCUCUUCCAUGAGGUUUUUGAGGACAUGAGCAAAAUGACGCAAUACGACCCGUCUUGAAACACGGACCAAGGAGUCUAGCACGGCUGCGAGUCGAAAGGUGAUUACGAAACCUAUUGGGCGCAGUGAAAGCAAAUCCAGGGGAGUUUUUUUUAAAAUUUUUCUGAACAAAGCAAAUUGGGGAGGCGUUGCGGUUUUACCAACAUGUCCUACCUUGAGCAUCUGUGCUGGGACCCGAAAGAUGGUGAACUAUGCCGGAGUAGGGCAAAGCCAGAGGAAACUCUGGUGGAGGCUCGUAGCGAUGCUGACGUGCAAAUCGCUCGUCGAACUUGGGUAUAGGGGCGAAAGACUAAUCGAACCAUCUAGUAGCUGGUUCCCUCCGAAGUUUCUCUCAGGAUAGCGGGCCGACAAAAAAAAUUUCAUAUUGUUGUUUUGUGUGGUAGAGCGAAUGAUUAGUGCAUUUGGGGGCCGAAGGCCUUCGGGCGAUUCUCAAACUUCAAAUACGCAAGGGGGCCGCUGCUUCACUGCGAACGUGAAAGGGGAGAAAUUUCAUUUCUUUCUUGAUCGUUCGCAAGUAUGAGCGUGCUCUUCGAAAAACGUCGGCUCCGUGGGCCAUUUUUGGUAAGCAGAACUGGCGAUAAGGGAUGAACCUUAAGCGCGGUUAAGGCGCCGCAUUGCCCGCUUAUAGACCCCACAAAAGGUGUUGAUUCAUUUAGACAGCAGGACGGUGGCCAUGGAAGUCGGAAUCCGCUAAGGAGUGUGUAACAACUCACCUGCCGAAUGAAUUAGCCCUGAAAAUGGAUGGCGCUGAAGCGGGCAGCCGACACCGCGCCGUUCAGGCGAAAACAUUUUUUUAAUAUAUAUGUCUGAAUGAGUAGGAGGGCGUGGCGGUCCGUGACGCAGGCGAGGGUGCAAACCCCGCUGAAACGGCCGCUAGUGCAGAUCUUGGUGGUAGUAGCAAAUAUUCAAGCGAGAUCCUUGAAGGGCGAAGCGGGGAAGGGUUCCAUGCUAACAUUGAUUGGGCGUGGGUGAGUCGUUCCUAAGCCGAGUGGCAAUUGCUAAGUAGCGGCGAAAGGGAAGCGGGUUAAAAUUCCUGCACACAGAUAUGGAGGCGGCAACGCAAGCAGAGGCGAAGACGCUGGCGAAGGCGCUGGGCAGAGUUGUCUUUUCUGUUUGACCGACAUGGCGCUGUGUGGAAUCCGAUUAUCGGGAGAAACACGCGCAAGUAUUCAAAACCAACGGGCAGAGCGUCGGGUUAUAUCCGGCGUCCGGCUCGCCUUCGACGGCCCUUGAAAAUUCGCCCGCGGCUUUGGGCCGACGCUAUUUCCCUUUCCUUCUUCCUCUUGGGGGAGAAGGAAAACAAUAGUGCUUGACCCAAUUUUAAAUUUCAUGCUGUGACGUACCGAUAACCGCAUCAGGUCCCCAAGGUGAACAGCCUCUGCUCAAUAUGAAUAAUGCAGGUAAGGGAAGUCGGCAAAAUGGACCCGUAACUUUGGGAAAAGGGUUGGCUCUAGUGGGGUGGGGGUAUUUUUUUAUAAAAUACUCAGGCGCGCCAAUUUUCGGAUUGGUUCGCUUGAGAGGGGGCUUUCGUGUGCCUGCUUGAGGCCAGUCUGUCUGGUUAGGGAGUUUUGCUUGGUCUUUUUCUCCUUGUCUUUCUGGGGGAUUGAAAAAAACUCUUUCGUCUUUUUUCUUCUUUCCUGUCACCAGUUUUUUUUUCAUUCUUUUCGGCAUUUGUCGGGAGGUUUGAGGAAGGGAUUGGCUCUGGGGGAAGCCGAGAGGAAGGGGGGAAUUGUGUUUUUUUUGGUUCUUUGGUUUUUAGGCUGUUGGGGAGGAGAUCAAGUACCUUGGCCGGGACCAGCCAUGAGUCAGGUAUGUGGGAUGCUUUUUCCCGCCCUCAGCAUACCCCAGACUAGAACUGCAACGGGCAAAGGGAAUCCGACUGUUUAAUUAAAACAAAGCAUUGCGAAGGCCGUGGCCGGUGUUGACGCAAUGUGAUUUCUGCUCAGUGCUCUGAAUGUCAAAGUGAAGAAAUUCAAUCAAGCGCGGGUAAACAGCGGGAGUAACUAUGACUCUCUUAAGGUAGCCAAAUGCCUCGUCAUCUAAUUAGUGACGCGCAUGAAUGGAUUAACGAGAUUCCUACUGUCCCUAUCUGCUUCUAGCGAAACCACAGCCGAGGGAACGGGCUCGGCGAAAUCGGCGGGGAAAGAAGACCCUGUUGAGCUUGACUCUAUUCUAAUUUUGUGAAGCAAGUUAGGAGGUGUAGAAUAGGUGGGAGCUAGUCGUUCGGGGGGGGCUCUCGGGUCUUCUCUUGGCUAGCGUCCGUGAAAUACCACUACUCUUAAUCUUGCUUUACUUAGGGCGUAAAACUGUGCCGGGGGGUUUCCCCCUUGUAUUUUUUUUGGUGUUCUGUCCGCGCCUCUUUUUUUCGUUCAUAGCGGGAGGGGGGGGGUUGCGUGUGCAGGGGGCCAAAAAAAUCAAGGUGGGGCCCUUUGAAACAAUACUUUUUUGCAUUGCAUCAAGCGUGCGCUUCGUUUACUCGAGGUGUGCGUGAACAGAGCGCCCAACAGAUUUAGGAGGGGAGUUUGGCUGGGGCGGCACAUCUUCUACAAGACAACGAAGGUGUCCAAAGAUAAGCUCAGUGAGAACAGAAAUCUCACGUAGCGCAAAAGGGUAAAAGCUUGUUUGAUUUUGAUUUUCAGUGUGAGUUGAAAACGCGAAAGCGUGGCCUAUCGAUCCUUUCACGAUUCGAGAUUUGAAGCGAGAGGUGUCAGAAAAGUUACCACAGGGAUAACUGGCUUGUGGCGGCCAAGCGUUCAUAGCGACGUCGCUUUUUGAUCCU
This 3400-nucleotide ribosomal RNA is filed under the name Thorea violacea. RNAcentral's name for it is "partial large subunit ribosomal RNA". It matches the Rfam family "Eukaryotic large subunit ribosomal RNA", at positions 57 to 2877 of the family's 3401-position model. Lineage: Eukaryota; Rhodophyta; Florideophyceae; Thoreales; Thoreaceae. The record is from RNAcentral.